UAGUUACUGCAUUGGGCGCAUGGACAAGAUAUGAACCCGUUCUCUGGCUUGUUCGCUUUGGCCACUUCAAGAAAAUUAUUCAUGCCAGCAAUAAACACCUUGCUCCGCCUAUCCGCGUUAUACAUCCAUUGCCGAUCCAUCUGCAUCGUAUUAUGCAAGCCAUCAAUAAAAUGGAUUACAAUAAAACUAUCCAUCACAUUGCUAAAAUUUUAGAUAGAAAUACACAAAUUAAAAUUUCAGAAGCAAACAACAUCAUAUAGUACGACAAACUCAAAUAUUGCUGAAAGUUUACAUAGAAAUACAUAAAUUAUUUAGCUCAUAUUUAAUUUACAAAUAACUAAACUAUUAAAAAAUUCAAUAUUUUCCACAUAAUGUACUUAUUCUAAAAAUGGCUAAUUGCAUACCUCUAUCUGAAAAGUACUAAAGUAUGAAAUUACACCUACAAUUUAUAUGGCUAAUUUAUAAGUAUUAAAAACAAAUUUACUCUAAUUUUUCCCUAAUACAUAAAAUUGAAAUAAUCUGAAUUCUACCUCACAUUUACUGUCCAUUCUCCCUCACAUUCAAACUAUCCAUCACAUUGUAGCUCAAAAACAUGUCUAAAUACAAAUCCUCUACAUGCUUAACAACUAACAAACUCAGUUUUCUCC
RNAcentral lists this long non-coding RNA (647 nucleotides) under Setaria viridis. RNAcentral's name for it is "long non-coding RNA (SVIR_LNC003546)". Lineage: Eukaryota; Viridiplantae; Streptophyta; Magnoliopsida; Poales; Poaceae. The record is from RNAcentral.